RNAcentral lists this ribosomal RNA (545 nucleotides) under Botryosphaeria dothidea. Its description in RNAcentral is "eukaryotic LSU rRNA". The stretch from base 180 to 333 matches the Rfam family "5.8S ribosomal RNA". The record is from RNAcentral. Lineage: Eukaryota; Fungi; Ascomycota; Dothideomycetes; Botryosphaeriales; Botryosphaeriaceae.
UAAGAGCUGAUCGGGCUCGGCCCGAUCCUCCCACCCUUUGUGUACCUACCUCUGUUGCUUUGGCGGGCCGCGGUCCUCCGCGGCCGCCCCCCUCCCCGGGGGGGUGGCCAGCGCCCGCCAGAGGACCAUCAAACUCCAGUCAGUAAACGAUGCAGUCUGAAAAACAUUUAAUAAACUAAAACUUUCAACAACGGAUCUCUUGGUUCUGGCAUCGAUGAAGAACGCAGCGAAAUGCGAUAAGUAAUGUGAAUUGCAGAAUUCAGUGAAUCAUCGAAUCUUUGAACGCACAUUGCGCCCUUUGGUAUUCCGAAGGGCAUGCCUGUUCGAGCGUCAUUACAACCCUCAAGCUCUGCUUGGUAUUGGGCACCGUCCUUUGCGGGCGCGCCUCAAAGACCUCGGCGGUGGCGUCUUGCCUCAAGCGUAGUAGAACAUACAUCUCGCUUCGGAGCGCAGGGCGUCGCCCGCCGGACGAACCUUCUGAACUUUUCUCAAGGUUGACCUCGGAUCAGGUAGGGAUACCCGCUGAACUUAAGCAUAUCAUAAGG